UCAGCACAGCAAGUGAUCGCUAGAAAUAGAGGAAAGUCCGAGCUGCUAUAAGACAGAGUUCCAUCUAACGGAUGGCUGGGGCAACCCAAGGGAAAGUGUAACAGAAAGCAGACUACCGAGAAUCGGAAAAGGUGAAACGGCGGGGUAAGAGCCCACCAACGAGCUUGGCAACAAGUGCGUUUAUAAACCCAACUCGCAGCAAGAAGGGGUGGUUUUAGUCUUAUAUUAAACCCUUCGCUCAAGCUUGUAUGCAAAUGCAAGAUUAGAUAAAUGAUCACUCACGACAGAACUCGGCUUAUCGCUGUGCUUUAUCA
Molecule: non-coding RNA, 314 nt
Organism: Campylobacter mucosalis
Lineage: Bacteria; Pseudomonadati; Campylobacterota; Epsilonproteobacteria; Campylobacterales; Campylobacteraceae
Source: Rfam